RNAcentral lists this ribosomal RNA (459 nucleotides) under Clostridioides difficile. RNAcentral's name for it is "bacterial LSU rRNA". It matches the Rfam family "Bacterial large subunit ribosomal RNA", at positions 1597 to 2069 of the family's 2925-position model. The record is from RNAcentral. Lineage: Bacteria; Bacillati; Bacillota; Clostridia; Peptostreptococcales; Peptostreptococcaceae.
AUGUCAGACUGGAAUGCACAGUCGGUGGCGUGGUUAAAGUGACGCGUACUGCAAUCGGCCACGGGGGGGUGAGGAGAGUAUGCUACGGCGAGCGAUGUAACUGUGUGUAAGGAACUCGUCACAAGGACACGUUAACUUCGGGAUUAGGGGUGCGACGUGCAGUUGGCCGUAGGGUCUGGGCCCAAGCGACUGUUUACCAAAAACAUAGGUUGCUGAUAAGUCGCAAGACGAUGUAUAGGAGCUGGCGCCGGCCCGGUGCUGGAAGGUUAAGGGGAUCUGUUAGAGCAAGCGAAGCAGUGAACUUAAGCCCCAGUAAACGGCGGCCGGAACGAUAACGGUCCUAAGGUAGCGAAAUUCCUUGUCGGGUAAGUUCCGACCCGCACGAAAGGCGUAACGAUUUGGGCACUGGCUCAACAACAGACUCGGUGACAUUGUAAUUCCGGUGAAGUUGCCUGCUAC